UCUGCCCNCUGAUAAUUAUUAAAGGGCUGCAGUAAUUUGACUGUACAAAGGUAGCAUAAUCAAUAGUCUUUUAAUUGAAGACUUGUAUGAAAGAUUUGAUGAAAUAUAAACUGUCUCUUAAUUAUAAUUAAAACUUAAUUUUUUAGUUAAAAAGCUAAAAUAAUUUUAAAAGACGAGAAGACCCUAUAGAGUUUUAUAAUUUUUNUUUUUAAAUAUUUAUAUAAAUUUUUAAUUUUUAAGAAUAAAAAUUAUUUUAUUGGGGUGAUAAAAAAAUUAAAAAAACUUUUUUUUUUUUUUACAUUGAUAAUUGAAUAAUUGAUCCUUUAUUUAAGAUUAUAAGAAUAAAUUACCUUAGGGAUAACAGCGUAAUAUUUUUUUUUAGUACGAAUAAAAAAAAAAGUUUGCGACCUCGAUGUUGGAUUAAGAUAAAAUUUAAAUGCAAAAGUUAAAAUUU
Molecule: ribosomal RNA, 454 nt
Filed under: Tarucus nara
Lineage: Eukaryota; Metazoa; Arthropoda; Insecta; Lepidoptera; Lycaenidae
Description: partial 16S ribosomal RNA
Source: RNAcentral